RNAcentral lists this ribosomal RNA (314 nucleotides) under Symbiodinium sp. clade A. RNAcentral describes it as "partial Bacterial large subunit ribosomal RNA". It matches the Rfam family "Bacterial large subunit ribosomal RNA", at positions 925 to 1235 of the family's 2925-position model. Lineage: Eukaryota; Dinophyceae; Suessiales; Symbiodiniaceae. The record is from RNAcentral.
GGAGUCAAAUCCUACCAAAUCCUGAUGAACUCCGAAUGCUAACAGAUUACUCCGGGAGUGAGGGCUAGGGUGCUAAGGUCCUGGUCCGAGAGGGAAAGAACCCAGACCUACGGCUAAGGUCCCUAAAUCCGCGCUAAGUUGAACUAAGGAGGUCCAAUUGCUUAGACAGCCAGGAUGUUGGCUUGGAAGCAGCCAUUCAUUUAAAGAGUGCGUAACAGCUCACCAAUCGAGAGAUUUUGCGCCGAUAAUAUUCGGGACUAAAGACUAGAGCCGAAAUCGCGGAUUCACAUGUUUACAUGUGAGUGGUAGGAGAA